RNAcentral lists this unclassified non-coding RNA (393 nucleotides) under Hevea brasiliensis (rubber tree). The record is from RNAcentral. Lineage: Eukaryota; Viridiplantae; Streptophyta; Magnoliopsida; Malpighiales; Euphorbiaceae.
CUCAUUCUCUCUGUGUAUGUAUGUAAGCAUGCGAUAUUCAUGCCAUUUGCCUUUCAUACGUCUCAUACAUUUGUUGUACAGCUGACACAAGAGAUUUACUAUGCUUAAUAAAAUAAUGUGCCAGUGGCUAUGAUGCCUAGUGAUAGUUCCCUACAGUGGCUUAUUUAGCUCUAUCUAAAAUUGUACAAGUAGAAUUUUCCCAUUAUUUCCGCUUAUGUAUCAUGCUUGCAUAAAUAAGUAUUGCAAGUGGAGUUCCCUGAAAAUAUGGCCAUAAAACUCUGAAGAUUUGGAUGACUGUAAAACUCUGAAGAUUUGGAGUCUAAUUUAACUUUGAAUAUCAUUUUUAAUUCUUCAACGAUUUUAUCUUUUUCCCAUAUUCUUGGUUUACCUACG